This 548-nucleotide ribosomal RNA is filed under the name uncultured Bifidobacterium sp. RNAcentral's name for it is "bacterial SSU rRNA". It matches the Rfam family "Bacterial small subunit ribosomal RNA", at positions 147 to 710 of the family's 1533-position model. Lineage: Bacteria; Bacillati; Actinomycetota; Actinomycetes; Bifidobacteriales; Bifidobacteriaceae. The record is from RNAcentral.
CUCCUGGAAACGGGUGGUAAUGCCGGAUGUUCCAGUUGAUCGCAUGGUCUUCUGGGAAAGCUUUCGCGGUAUGGGAUGGGGUCGCGUCCUAUCAGCUUGACGGCGGGGUAACGGCCCACCGUGGCUUCGACGGGUAGCCGGCCUGAGAGGGCGACCGGCCACAUUGGGACUGAGAUACGGCCCAGACUCCUACGGGAGGCAGCAGUGGGGAAUAUUGCACAAUGGGCGCAAGCCUGAUGCAGCGACGCCGCGUGAGGGAUGGAGGCCUUCGGGUUGUAAACCUCUUUUAUAGGGGAGCAAGCGUGAGUGAGUUUACCCGUUGAAUAAGCACCGGCUAACUACGUGCCAGCAGCCGCGGUAAUACGUAGGGUGCAAGCGUUAUCCGGAAUUAUUGGGCGUAAAGGGCUCGUAGGCGGUUCGUCGCGUCCGGUGUGAAAGUCCAUCGCUUAACGGUGGAUCCGCGCCGGGUACGGGCGGGCUUGAGUGCGGUAGGGGAGACUGGAAUUCCCGGUGUAACGGUGGAAUGUGUAGAUAUCGGGAAGAACACC